ACUCAAAUGAAUUGACGGGGGCCCGCACAAGCGGUGGAGUAUGUGGUUUAAUUCGACGCAACGCGAAGAACCUUACCCAGCCUUGACAUCCCUGGAACCCGGUGGAAACACUGGGGUGCCUUCGCAAGAAGGAGCCAGGUGACAGGUGCUGCAUGGCUGUCGUCAGCUCGUGUCGUGAGAUGUUCGGUUAAGUCCGGCAACGAGCGCAACCCUUGCUUCCAGUUGCCAUCAUUCAGUUGGGAACUCUGGAGGGACUGCCGGCGCCAAGCCGGAGGAAGGUGGGGACGACGUCAAGUCAUCAUGGCCUUUAUGGCUGGGGCUACACACGUACUACAAUGGCGACUACAAAGGGCUGCGAAGCAGCGAUGUGAAGCAAAUCCCAAAAAAGUCGCCUCAGUUCGGAUUGGAGUCUGCAACUCGACUCCAUGAAGUUGGAAUCGCUAGUAAUCGCGGAUCAGAACGCCGCGGUGAAUACGUUCCCGGGCCUUGUACACACCGCCCGU
This 503-nucleotide ribosomal RNA is filed under the name uncultured bacterium. RNAcentral's name for it is "partial 16S ribosomal RNA". It matches the Rfam family "Bacterial small subunit ribosomal RNA", at positions 899 to 1397 of the family's 1533-position model. The record is from RNAcentral.